AUUGAACGCUGGCGGCAGGCCUAACACAUGCAAGUCGAGCGGAUGAAGGGAGCUUGCUCCUGGAUUCAGCGGCGGACGGGUGAGUAAUGCCUAGGAAUCUGCCUGGUAGUGGGGGAUAACGUCCGGAAACGGGCGCUAAUACCGCAUACGUCCUGAGGGAGAAAGUGGGGGAUCUUCGGACCUCACGCUAUCAGAUGAGCCUAGGUCGGAUUAGCUAGUUGGUGGGGUAAAGGCCUACCAAGGCGACGAUCCGUAACUGGUCUGAGAGGAUGAUCAGUAACACUGGAACUGAGACACGGUGAAGACUCCUACGGGAGGAAGCAGUGGGGAAUAUUGGACAAUGGGAGAAAGAAUGAUCCAGCAAAGCCGAGUGUGUGAAGAAGGUCUUAGGAUUGUAAAGCACUUUAAGUUGGGAGGAAGGGAAGUAAGUUAAUAACUUGCUGUUUUGACGUUACCAACAGAAUAAGCACCGGCUAACUUCGUG
This 484-nucleotide ribosomal RNA is filed under the name uncultured bacterium. RNAcentral's name for it is "partial 16S ribosomal RNA". It matches the Rfam family "Bacterial small subunit ribosomal RNA", at positions 30 to 507 of the family's 1533-position model. The record is from RNAcentral.